AAUGUUUGAUGCCGUUGACUUUUUAGCACAUGUUUGACCGUUCGUCUUAUUCAAAAAAUUUAAGUAAUUAUUAAUUCUUUUCCUAUCAUUUGAUUCAUUGUUAAAUAUAUUUUUAUGUAGGCAUAUAAUUUUACAUAUUUCACAAAAGUUUUUGAAUAAGACGAACGGUCAAACAUGUGCUAAAAAGUCAACGGCGUCAAACAUU
Oryza sativa Indica Group (long-grained rice) is the source of this 205-nucleotide microRNA precursor. It matches the Rfam family "MIR812 microRNA precursor family". Lineage: Eukaryota; Viridiplantae; Streptophyta; Magnoliopsida; Poales; Poaceae. The record is from Rfam.